Long non-coding RNA from Penaeus indicus, 315 nucleotides. RefSeq lists it as uncharacterized. The transcript is spliced from 4 exons. The record is from RefSeq and is a predicted model, not a curated record. NCBI's taxonomy places the organism in Eukaryota, Metazoa, Arthropoda, Malacostraca, Decapoda, Penaeidae.
ACCAAAUGAAAAUUGCAAGCAUCACCGGUCCCCAUACCCACAGGACGCCGAGCAACUGCCAAAUCGCACGGUUCUUCCGUAGAUUCCCUACGGAAGAACCAAACCGCCAGUAUAUCAUGAUCAGCAUCUUGACCUUCUUGGCUGCCGUGGCUUCGGUGACCUCCCUUCCUGCAUAUGUACACACUACCAGUGAAUGCAUGAGGGCUGAAGAUGUGACUGUGUGCGAGGCAGAUUUCAGGCUGUGCAGCGACGCGUUCGCAAAGAACGAGGAAGAGGAAAUCGACGAGGAAAUUCACAGGCUCUGUUUAAACGAAC